Molecule: non-coding RNA, 75 nt
Organism: Podarcis lilfordi (Lilford's wall lizard)
Lineage: Eukaryota; Metazoa; Chordata; Lepidosauria; Squamata; Lacertidae
Source: the annotation of a GenBank genome assembly
CUCUGAGUAGCUCAGUGGUAGAGCAUCUGCCUUGUAUGAAGAAGGUCCCCAGCCUCUCUAGAUAUGGCUAGGAGA